This is a long non-coding RNA of Aegilops tauschii subsp. strangulata, 2476 nucleotides long. RefSeq lists it as uncharacterized. NCBI's taxonomy places the organism in Eukaryota, Viridiplantae, Streptophyta, Magnoliopsida, Poales, Poaceae. The record is from RefSeq and is a predicted model, not a curated record.
CUCACAACUUUUGGCACACGGGUAGCUCCUGGCCAUUAAAAAAAAAUCCUUGCUUUGGUCGUGGGAUUAGCAGGUUGCCCAGCCAGGUCCCCUGGUUAGGCAAGGCAACUGCGAGCGGUUGGAGCUCCGAUGGUGAUUAGCGGCGGUGGGCGGCGAGUGUGGUGGUCUGCGCAGAAUCGGCGUCCCGGCCUGGUAAGUGCGCGUGUGGCCUCGGCGUCUCUGCGGGUUCGUCAGUGCCGGGUGACGCGGCGGGUGGGGGUUGACACGGUGCUGCAUCGACCGCCAUUGAUUCUUGAUUUCCGACGGCCGCGGCGGCGCUGCUCCAGUACGCGCGGCGUCAUGGAAUUUGAAGAGGUUGAGGCAACAAAGAGAACAGAGGAAUAAGGUAGUCAGCUUUUCUCUUCCUUUUCAUCUCUUGAUGCGGUGUCCUUUUCUUCCCAUCACGAUGGUGGGUAACCAGGUCUGCGCUGCUGGAGUUCUUCAGUAUAGCCCCAUCUCCAUCAACAUACAAGAGUAUGUGUCGAUUUGUUUUGAUUGAUAUCAUAUAGAAGCUUCUACAGACGAAUGAAUAUGGUACAGUUGUUGCAUUCAUUAUUUUGUGCAGCUACCUACUGUUUAAAUCCUCCAUUGACUUGGUUGAAACACUACAGUUCACAUCUAGAAACAGUUUAAAUUCUGCACAAAUUAUUGGGAAUUCCAUGUUCUGAACAGGACUUUUAAACUGAACAGAGAAGUCAUCACGUACUGAUUCUACUCAUCAAACAGUACCUCUUGAUGCAUGAUUUCAAGUGGGAAGUGAGAUAUGCAAGUUCCUUACAACGACAGUUUACUACUGCAUCGUACUAGAGAUAUGGUAGUACAGAUGUUUUCACCAUGUUCCAGUCCUAUAGGCUUGUGAACUUGAAGAUCAACAGCUUACAAUAUGGUGUAUUCCUUUCAAAAACUUUUUUUGCAUACAAUUUUCGGGAUGGCCUAACACAAGUACUUAAACAAACACAUAUGAGAUUGCCACCACAUGCCGAUGCACAAGCCAAUCGCUCUGCAUUUGGUGCAUUCCAUCUCACCAUGAACAUGAAGUUCGGUUUACAUCUCAGUCAGGAUCAGAGGAAGAAUAAAGCUACUUCUGUUUGUGGCAUUAGCAGAUGGACAUUGGUUUUUCACUUGACAAGGAAAAGACAACAUACAACAUGUUAUUUUUUGUGAGAACCACUGAGCUACAAUUUUCCCAAUUGUUACUAAAUAGUUUCAAAAUGUUAUAGAAAUGCUAGUUAGUAUACUGUUCUUCUAGUUAGUCUUUCUGAUGUUUUUGUUUUUUUCCUUGUUCAUAUGUUUCAGUUUAAGCUCAACACUAGAGUUGUUAUAAGUAUAUGGUCCUUUCAACAGUGGUUUGCUAGCUGGGACACAUUUGGCUAUUUGAAAUAUACUUCUUUCUGUUUGGCAUUUGCUUCUAAUUUUCUAUGUGCUCCUUUUGGUUAUGUAGAUAUCUUUUAGCAUACUUCUCCCUUCAUUUACUCAUUUUGCUAUACACCUUUUUUGCGUUACUUCUAAGAAAUUUCUUAAUUAUAUCCGAAGUCGGCUGUUUUUCUCACAAUCUUAACUGGAAUAAUCCUACAGAAAAUAUAAGAAAAUUAGCUUUCUAGUAGCAGCAACACUCUUGUACUAACUAUUAAAGCUGUUUUUUUCUUUAGAAAAUGGUACACUUAUCUGCUGGAAAUAAGAAUGUAAUAUGUAUCUGUGGCAUUGCUUUAUUUUUUUGCUUGAUCUACAUGUAUACCAUGAGGUGCCAGAUCAAGCAUUUUGACACACAGUUAAGGAUUUAAGGCCGAAAAGGCAGACUUAUUUAUAAGGCCAGGAGUAGGCAUUUGCUUAGCGUGCCACAUUGCCACAAUAUUUCUAGUGUUAGUUUUCUAACAAUUUGUGUAUGAAGGCAACCUACUAUUCUCUCUUCAUCUGACUACAUGGGUAACAUUAUUUUGAUUAUUCAGUUGGUUGGAUGCUUAAUUUAUUCAGGGAUAGAGAGGACUCCCUCCUAUCCAUAAUAAUUGUCGCUGAUUUAGUACAAAGUUGUACUAAAUCAACAGAAAUUAAUAUGGAUUGGGGGGGAUAGCAAAAUUCAGGUUUUGAUGAGAAGAAAAAAGUGAACCUAAAGGCUCUAAGUACUAUUAGUAGGACACCAGGUUGCUUCAAGCCCUUGGAUAAGAAUGUUUCAGUCGCUGGAGAGAAUGUUGAACAGAUGACAUGGAUGGAAGAUCUCUGGCCACCUGCAAAUAGCUGUUUGAAGAUCAAGAUCGGGAGUAUUGAGUUUUGUAAUAGUGAUUUCUGAAUUUUUCUGGAUGCUUGUUACUGAGUGCUAAGUGGCAGACAACAUUGUUAUUCCAUGGUUACCAAAAAAAUGCCUUCUGUACAGAAUAAUUAGUGGACCAUGUUUCUUACGAUAACCAAAGAUGCCUCGUACAGAAAAGUGUUAGGGCAUGUA